CCUACGGGAGGCAGCAGUGGGGAAUAUUGGGCAAUGGGCGAAAGCCUGACCCAGCAACGCCGCGUGAAGGACGAAGGCCUUCGGGUUGUAAACUUCUUUGAUCAGGGACGAAUAAAUGACGGUACCUGAAGAACAAGCCACGGCUAACUACGUGCCAGCAGCCGCGGUAAU
This 171-nucleotide ribosomal RNA is filed under the name uncultured bacterium. Its description in RNAcentral is "partial 16S rRNA". It matches the Rfam family "Bacterial small subunit ribosomal RNA", at positions 338 to 524 of the family's 1533-position model. The record is from RNAcentral.